Molecule: non-coding RNA, 148 nt
Filed under: Homo sapiens (human)
Lineage: Eukaryota; Metazoa; Chordata; Mammalia; Primates; Hominidae
Source: Rfam by way of RNAcentral
GCCAAGCGUGGUAGCGCAUGCCUGUAGUCCCAGCUACUCAGGAGGCUGAGAUGGGGGUAUCGCUUGAGCCCAGGAUGUCAAGGCUGUUGUGAGCUAUGAUUGCACCACUACAAUCUGGGCUGGGCAACAGAGUGAGACCCUGUCUCAU